GCCAGACUCCUACGGGAGGCAGCAGUGGGGAAUAUUGCACAAUGGGGGGAACCCUGAUGCAGCGACGCCGCGUGAGUGAAGAAGUACUUCGUUAUGUAAAGCUCUAUCAGCAGGGAAGAAAAUGACGGUACCUGAGUAAGAAGCCCCGGCUAACUACGUGCCAGCAGCCGCGGUAAUACGUAGGGGGCAAGCGUUAUCCGGAUUUACUGGGUGUAAAGGGAGCGUAGACGGCAGUGCAAGUCUGGAGUGAAAGGCGGGGGCUCAACCCCCGGACUGCUCUGGAAACUGUACGGCUGGAGUGCAGGAGAGGUAAGUGGAAUUCCUAGUGUAGCGGUGAAAUGCGUAGAUAUUAGGAGGAACACCAGUGGCGAAGGCGGCUUACUGGACUGUAACUGACGUUGAGGCUCGAAAGCGUGGGGAGCAAACAGGAUUAGAUACCCGUGUAGA
This 447-nucleotide ribosomal RNA is filed under the name uncultured bacterium. RNAcentral describes it as "bacterial SSU rRNA". It matches the Rfam family "Bacterial small subunit ribosomal RNA", at positions 330 to 794 of the family's 1533-position model. The record is from RNAcentral.